GAUGAACGCUGGCGGCGUGCCUAAUACAUGCAAGUCGAGCGAACAGAUGAGGAGCUUGCUCCUCUGACGUUAGCGGCGGACGGGUGAGUAACACGUGGAUAACCUACCUAUAAGACUGGGAUAACUUCGGGAAACCGGAGCUAAUACCGGAUAAUCUAUUUAACCGCAUGUUUCAAUAGUGAAAGACGGUUUUGCUGUCACUUAUAGAUGGAUCCGCGCCGCAUUAGCUAGUUGGUAAGGUAACGGCUUACCAAGGCAACGAUGCGUAGCCGACCUGAGAGGGUGAUCGGCCACAAUGGAACUGAGACACGGUCCAGACUCCUACGGGAGGCAGCAGUAGGGAAUCUUCCGCAAUGGGCGAAAGCCUGACGGAGCAACGCCGCGUGAGUGAUGAAGGUCUUCGGAUCGUAAAACUCUGUUAUUAGGGAAGAACAAAUGUGUAAGUAACUAUGCACGUCUUGACGGUACCUAAUCAGAAAGCCACGGCUAACUACGUG
This 497-nucleotide ribosomal RNA is filed under the name uncultured bacterium. RNAcentral describes it as "partial 16S ribosomal RNA". It matches the Rfam family "Bacterial small subunit ribosomal RNA", at positions 28 to 507 of the family's 1533-position model. The record is from RNAcentral.